This 500-nucleotide ribosomal RNA is filed under the name uncultured bacterium. RNAcentral describes it as "partial 16S ribosomal RNA". It matches the Rfam family "Bacterial small subunit ribosomal RNA", at positions 30 to 523 of the family's 1533-position model. The record is from RNAcentral.
AUUGAACGCUGGCGGCAGGCCUAACACAUGCAAGUCGAGCGGUAGAGAGAAGCUUGCUUCUCUUGAGAGCGGCGGACGGGUGAGUAAUGCCUAGGAAUCUGCCUGGUAGUGGGGGAUAACGUUCGGAAACGGACGCUAAUACCGCAUACGUCCUACGGGAGAAAGCAGGGGACCUUCGGGCCUUGCGCUAUCAGAUGAGCCUAGGUCGGAUUAGCUAGUUGGUGAGGUAAUGGCUCACCAAGGCGACGAGCCGUAACUGGUCUGAGAGGAUGAUCAGUCACACUGGAACUGAGACACGGUCCAAACUCCUACGGGAGGCAGCAGUGGGGAAUAUUGGACAAUGGGCGAAAGCCUGAUCCAGCCAUGCCGCGUGUGUGAAGAAGGUCUUCGGAUUGUAAAGCACUUUAAGUUGGGAGGAAGGGUUGUAGAUUAAUACUCUGCAAUUUUGACGUUACCGACAGAAUAAGCACCGGCUAACUCUGUGCCAGCCGCCGCGGUAA